RNAcentral lists this ribosomal RNA (461 nucleotides) under uncultured bacterium. Its description in RNAcentral is "partial 16S ribosomal RNA". It matches the Rfam family "Bacterial small subunit ribosomal RNA", at positions 338 to 795 of the family's 1533-position model. The record is from RNAcentral.
CCUACGGGAGGCUGCAGUGAGGAAUAUUGGUCAAUGGGCGCGAGCCUGAACCAGCCAAGUAGCGUGAAGGAUGACUGCCCUACGGGUUGUAAACUUCUUUUAUAAAGGAAUAAAGUGAGGCACGUGUCCCUUUUUGUUUUUACUUUAUGAAUAAGGAUCGGCUCACUCCGGGCCAGCAGCCGCGGUAAUACGGUGGAUCCGAGCGUUAUCCGGAUUUAUUUGGUUUAACGGGAGCGUAGGCUGUGCGGUAAGUCAGCUGUGAAAUGCACCCGGUCCACGGGGUGAAGUGCCAUUGAAACUGCCGUGCUGGAGUGCGGAUGCGGUGGGAGGAAGGUGAGGUGUAGCGGUGAAAUGCAUAGAUAUCACACAGAACACCGAUUGCGAAGGCAGCUCACGAGUCCGCGAUUGACGCUGAUGCACGAAAGCGUGGGUAUCAAACAGGAUUAGAUACCCUAGUAGUC